ACUUGAAUUCAUUUUGUCAUGUUCAUUUGGUGCUCGCAAUAUGGCGUCUAUUGAAAAACUUCGAUCACCAUAGGCCAAAUCCUUUUUGGCCCUUCUACGGUAUUUAUCACAAUGAUUUUAGGAUCUAAUAUUAGUACCGAGCAGAAGAAUAAUUUAUAAGCAAAUGUACCAUUUUUUGAGUUUACUGAAUGGCUCGACGAAACCAACCUUCAACAAUUUAUUUGCAUGACCCAUUGUGGAGUCCAAAAGGCAAAACCUCUAAAUUGUUUUCCAGCACAUCAAUCUUCUGAAAGUGGAUCAACAAAAUCAC
Molecule: long non-coding RNA, 310 nt
Organism: Malaya genurostris
Lineage: Eukaryota; Metazoa; Arthropoda; Insecta; Diptera; Culicidae
Exons: 3
Source: RefSeq, a predicted model, not a curated record